UCCUUUAACGAGGAUCAACUGGAGGGCAAGUCUGGUGCCAGCAGCCGCGGUAAUUCCAGCUCCAGAAGCGUAUAUUAAAGUUGUUGCAGUUAAAAAGCUCGUAGUUGGAUCUGGGUCGCAUGGCUACGUGCCGUAGCUUGUAUUCUCGGCUUGGCUACGGUUGGUCGGGUUUGUUAGUCGGCUUCGUAGCUGUGCAGCCUUUCUGCCGUGUCUGUUUCGACAGGUGCUGAUGGUCAAUCCGUUGGCAUGCUUCCGGAUGCCUUUAACCGGGUGUCGGGGGCGGACGGCACGUUUACUUUGAACAAAUUUGAGUGCUCAAAGCAGGCCUAUGCCUGAAAAAUCUUGCAUGGAAUAAUGGAAUAGGACUUCGGUUCUAUUUUGUUGGUUUUCGGAUCCGAAGUAAUGGUUAAGAGGGACAGACGGGGGCAUUUGUAUGGCGGUGUUAGAGGUGAA
RNAcentral lists this ribosomal RNA (453 nucleotides) under Microphallus sp. HAP14. Its description in RNAcentral is "SSU rRNA". It matches the Rfam family "Eukaryotic small subunit ribosomal RNA", at positions 530 to 915 of the family's 1831-position model. Lineage: Eukaryota; Metazoa; Platyhelminthes; Trematoda; Plagiorchiida; Microphallidae. The record is from RNAcentral.